RNAcentral lists this long non-coding RNA (1927 nucleotides) under Homo sapiens (human). RNAcentral's name for it is "HSALNT0098489". Lineage: Eukaryota; Metazoa; Chordata; Mammalia; Primates; Hominidae. The record is from RNAcentral.
UCUGUGUAGAGUCAUUGGGGCGACCCCUAGGGCCAAGCAAGCCCAUGCCAUCGUUCCAGAGACCCUGGGCCCACCCCGCUGGUGCCAAAUCCAGGCCUUACCACCCUCUGCCCUGUCUUCUCUGGGGAGUGGAGCAAAUGAUGCUGCCUGCCCACGGGUGCCUCUCUCAGUGCUUACAGGGCCCGAGCCCACUUGCUGGGCUGGGUGGGUGGUGGUGUCCGCCCGAUAGAGCUGGAGAAAGGGGUGAGCGUCACUCUCUCUAGGAGGAUGACGCAAUGUGCUCCACAACCUACACCUCCAUUCACUCAUUCAGCCAGGGCAGCGGAGCACCCCGUCGCUGCCAGGCACUGCCGCGGGCACUUACGUGAGGGACAAAACAAAGGCCCCACCUCGUGGAACUCACAGCCCAGGCCAGGAAGCAGUCGGCUUUGUCUGCCAAAGGUCAAAUAUAAUGGCAAAAACCGCAACUACUUUUGCACCAACCUACUUAAAUCCGCUAGGCUGUUGGGCCGUGCUCCCCUUGACUCUGCCUUCAUGGUGGAAAGCAGCUCCGGGUGGGGCUAAGCAGUCUCGUGCGGGGUGUCCCCAUCACAUCGUACUUGUGGACGCUGACGGCGAACCUCGUGUGAUUUUCAUGGGUCGUGAAUAUCAUCCUCCUUUUGAUUUUCAGCUAUUAAACAACAGAAAACCAUUUUUGGCUCUUGAGCUCUAUAAACACAACUAGCGGGUGGGAUCCACCCCGCGGCUGGAGUUUGCAGACCUGGGUCCAGGAAGGAAGGAAGGAGACGGUACACAGUGAACAUCAUCGCGUGAGCCUGCCCUGCUGCCAGUGGGGACACAGCGGACCAAGCAGGGGUGAGGCAGGGGGCAGGCCUGGCACUAAAUGGGGCAGUCGGAGCGGGCCUUGCUGUGAAUGCCAGAUGGAGCAAAGACCUUUCAUUUUAACGGUGCUGACCUCGCUAUCAAAUACCCAAGUUGGAUGUUGCUGCCACAGAUCCUGUGGGCUGAGGCGUGCCCUGGACUCUCACGGGACAGGCGCUGGCAAACCAGGGGAGGGUCUCACAUGAAAGGACCACAGCAGACUCGUCCCUUUGUCAGAGGAAAGAAAUAGAAUACUGUUUGGAUUACAGAUACUAGUAAAAUAUGAUCUUGAAAAAACAUUUGAUAAAUUACAGCAGGAAUUUAUAAUUUAAAAAAAAUCGCCAGGCGUGGUGGCUCACGCCUGUAAUCCCAGCACUUUGGAAGGCUGAGGCAGGUAGAUCACCUGAGGUCAGGAGUUCAAGACCAGCCUGUCCAACAUGAUGAAACCCCGCCUCUAUUUAAAAAAAAAAAUUAGCUGGGCAUGAUUGCGCAUGCCUGUAAUUCCCAGCUACUCAGGAGGCUGAGGCAGGAGAAUCGCUUGAACCUGGGAGGCGGAGGUUGCAGUGAGCCGAGAUCGCACUAUUGCACUCCAGCCUGGGAGACUAGAGCAAAACUCUGUCUAAAAAAAAAGAAAAAUCACAAUUUCUUAGCAACUAGAAAUAAAAGGAAAUUUCUUUCACCUGAUAAAGGGCACAUAUCAGACAUAUGGAAGAAACUUUAUACUUCAUGUUGAAACAUCAGCAGCAGGAACAAGACAAGGAUGCUGACUCAGUGCUACAAUUCAGCACCGUCAUAGAGUCCUAGCCAAUGCAGUAACACAAGAAAAUAAAUAAGAAGGAUAAAAAUUAGCAGGGAGGAGACAAGGGCAGGAACCAUCUCUGUCCUCUUGUUUCCAAUUAAGCAGAUACCUAAUAAAUUUUAUUAAAUUGGAGGAAAAUUCAUUGUAUCCUUAAAGAAGGUUCUUGAAGGUAACAGAGCAGAAUGGAUCCUUUAGUAGCUAAAGUCUGAAAUAUUCAGUGGUCGUCAAGAAGUUCCAUUGGUCAUGGACCUGCCAAAAAGAUAGAAG